RNAcentral lists this long non-coding RNA (1105 nucleotides) under Cyanistes caeruleus (blue tit). RNAcentral's name for it is "lncRNA (ENSCCEG00000013368.1)". The record is from RNAcentral. Lineage: Eukaryota; Metazoa; Chordata; Aves; Passeriformes; Paridae.
GCUUGACUAAUGUUCCCUUGUAAAAUGUUGUGUUAAGCACAUUCCAGGCGCUGACAUUAAAUACUUGGGCCAGGGCAGCGCUCACCCUCCGGCGGCCGCAGCGCUGAGCCAGCCCCAGCCACAGGCCCGUGCUGCCGCAGCCAAAUUUGCUUUUUUCUGCCCCAUCCCCACCUCCCCCUGCCCUCCCUCCGGCACAGCCAGCGUGGGCAGCGGGGGAAGGAGGCAGGGGCAGGACCACGGCUGUCUGGCAGAUGAAAUAAUAAUUACCCCGGCCGCCUCCGGCCUCCCUCGCAUUCCUCUGUGCUAACAGCUCGGCUUAUUUUGUUUUCAUCCGCAAAUAUUGACUCGUCGGGUUCUUUUCACCUCGUGCCUAUUAAAAAGGCAUUGCUCAGAGUAUUGUUAUUGAAUUUGUUCUGCAGCUGCGAGAAGCAUCCAGCAGCUUGAAGGAAUUCACCCACACGGUUAGCGCAGGCCCUGACGGCCUUGUGCCCUCAGUACCCCCCGAAACUGCUUCGCCUGCUGCUCUCCAAGAGACGGGACCUGGGUCUGGCUCAGCAAGGAUUCCACCCAGCCUUUCCACCAAGGGGGAGAUCAGGAUGGUGCUGGGGAUGAGGCAGAACUGUGAUCUGCUCCUGGGGAUGCCUCUUUGCUGCUCUGUGCCUCAGUUUCCCAGGAUCCCACAGCGCACAGUCACAGGCCUUGUUCGGCUUCAGUGUGAUGCCAUUUGCCUCCUGUCUCAGCUGUCCCCAGUAAUUCAUCUCUGGCUUGCUGAUCUGGGGAUGUGGAAGAUCCUCUAGCACCACCAGGCUUCCCUGAGGUGAGUGCAGGCACCAGAGCACCCUCCCAAACCCUGUCUGUCCCUUGUUCCCUGCACACCCACAUUCCCCCUGGCAGGGUUCAUUCUUCCAUCCCUGCUUUGCAUCUGUCACUAUUCCAGCAGUGACAAGUGAGAGCUCAAGCACAGCCAGAGUGAGCAAAUCCUGGCAAAGUGUUGGACUUCGUGUUAGGGAAGAUGCUGGGAAAGUGCAUUUGGGUUCUGUGUAAGAAGCAGGAGAAGAAAACUGGGAUUUACAUGAGCCAGCAAUAAACCAGAGGGGCAAGCCCA